UACAGAGACUGCAAGCGUUACUCGGAUUCACUGGGCGUAAAGGGAGCGCAGGCGGAUUGGUGUGUCAGAUGUGAAAUCCCGGGGCUUAACUCCGGGGCUGCGUCUGAAACUACCGAUCUAGAGAUUCGGAGGGGCUAGUGGAAUUCCUGGUGGAGCAGUGAAAUGCGUAGAUAUCAGGAGGAACACCAACGGCGAAGGCAGCUAGCUGGACGAAAUCUGACGCUCAGGCUCGAAAGUAUGGGGAGCAAAAAGG
This 253-nucleotide ribosomal RNA is filed under the name uncultured bacterium. RNAcentral's name for it is "partial 16S ribosomal RNA". It matches the Rfam family "Bacterial small subunit ribosomal RNA", at positions 524 to 776 of the family's 1533-position model. The record is from RNAcentral.